CCUACGGGUGGCAGCAGUGGGGAAUAUUGGGCAAUGGGCGCAACUCUGACCCAGCAACGCCGCGUGAAUGAUGAAGGCCUUCGGGUUGUAAAGUUCUUUUCUCAGGGAAGAAGAAAGUGAAGGUACCUUAGGUAUAAGCCCAGGGUAACUACGUGCCAGCAGCCGCGGUAAUACGUAGGUGGCAAGCGUUAUCCGGAAUGAUUGGGCGUAAAGGGGGCGUAGGUGGUUUGGCAAGUUAGUAGUGAAACUCCAAGGCUCAACCGUGGGUCUGCGACUGGUACUGGUGGUCUUGAGUGCAGUAGGGGAGACCGGAAUUCCUGGUGUAGCGGUGGAAUGUGUAGAUAUUGGGAGGAACACCAGUGGCGAAGGCAGGUUGCUGGACCGUUACUGACGCUGAGGCGCGAAAGCGUGGGGAGCAAACAGGAUUAGAUACCCCAGUAGUC
This 443-nucleotide ribosomal RNA is filed under the name uncultured bacterium. Its description in RNAcentral is "partial 16S ribosomal RNA". It matches the Rfam family "Bacterial small subunit ribosomal RNA", at positions 338 to 795 of the family's 1533-position model. The record is from RNAcentral.